GAUGAACGCUGGCGGCAGGCCUAACACAUGCAAGUCGAGCGGAUGAGAGGAGCUUGCUCCUCGAUUCAGCGGCGGACGGGUGAGUAAUGCCUAGGAAUCUGCCUAGUAGUGGGGGACAACGUUUCGAAAGGAACGCUAAUACCGCAUACGUCCUACGGGAGAAAGUGGGGGAUCUUCGGACCUCACGCUAUUAGAUGAGCCUAGGUCGGAUUAGCUAGUUGGUAGGGUAACGGCCUACCAAGGCGACGAUCCGUAACUGGUCUGAGAGGAUGAUCAGUCACACUGGAACUGAGACACGGUCCAGACUCCUACGGGAGGCAGCAGUGGGGAAUAGUGGACAAUGGGCGAAAGCCUGAUCCAGCCAUGCCGCGUGUGUGAAGAAGGCCCUCGGGUCGUAAAGCACUUUAAGUUGGGAGGAAGGGCUUACAGCGAAUACCUGUGAGUUUUGACGUUACCGACAGAAUAAGCACCGGCUAACUUCGUGCCAGCCGCCGCCGUAA
This 500-nucleotide ribosomal RNA is filed under the name uncultured bacterium. RNAcentral describes it as "partial 16S ribosomal RNA". It matches the Rfam family "Bacterial small subunit ribosomal RNA", at positions 28 to 523 of the family's 1533-position model. The record is from RNAcentral.